Molecule: long non-coding RNA, 5256 nt
Organism: Canis lupus familiaris (dog)
Lineage: Eukaryota; Metazoa; Chordata; Mammalia; Carnivora; Canidae
Exons: 4
Source: RefSeq, a predicted model, not a curated record
AUCAGAAAGAGAGUCAGAGAGAGAUAAGAAAAGAGAAGACGCAAGAGAAUGGGGGUGGGGUGACAGAGCAAGGGAAAGGGAGAGAUGGAGGGGGACAGCAGGCCAGUUACCUUCCCCUUCUGACUUUCAGUUUCCUUAUCUGCUGCUCCAUGUGCAGGGUGCCCUGAGGCAGGGCCGGGAGAGAUAGUAACUCAUGGUUUAAUGGCCAGAAGAAUCAAUGCCUCCCAUCUUCUGUUCUAGUACUUUCUAUAUUACUUUCUCUCUUGUUCUUAAUUCAGUUCCUUUGUCCCUCCUCUAUACCACAGAGUGACUAUUAUCCACAUUUUUUUUUUCUGAUGAAGAAAUCAAAUGGGAGCCCAAAUCUGUUGUCACCAUCUCUGUGGGGGGGAAGAUGAUCUGCUGCUUCUCUGGUGAUGGUGACUGAGACUCCUAGAGUGCCCCUAAAUCCCCUCUGCCUAGAAAAUUCAGAGCUUCCACUAUGAGAAGGAAGAAAUAGAGGGAGAAGCCAGUGGAGUGGAAGAGGGAGGGCAGGACAGAAGGUUUUAAUGAGAGGUGUCAGUGUGUGUAAAUUACCUAGCAUACAGUUGGUGCUCUAUUAGUGCCCCUUCCCUUUCCUAAUGGAGAGCACUGAGAGCAGGAAGGAAGAGGAGGCAGCAGAGAGGAAGGGAAAGGGGGAAGGAGAUUGUGAGGAAGGGAGGUUGUGCUUAUAAAGGGCAAGCACACAGUAGGUGCUCAAUAAAUGUCCACUCCUAUUUUCAGGAGAGAGGAGACAAGUCAGAAAGGUGAAGAAACCACCACAGAGGAAAAAUGGGAGGAAAGACAGCCUGAGGAGAAUGAGAGAGAGAGAGAGAAAGAGUCAUUGGUGGAAAUUGCUGGGCAUAUAGUAGGUGCUUAUUAAGUAUGAGUUCUUUUCCCAGGAGAAACAAGAAAGGUGGGGAGGUGAAGUUCCAGCAGAGACAAUGAACAGAAGUUGCGAGGGAAGGAGACAAUACAUGUAAAGCAGUGGGCACACAGUAGGCACUUAAUGGCCAUUCCCCUUCCUGCUGGUGAGCACAGAAAAAGCAGCCUGGAGGAGGGAAGGAAGCAGAGAGGAGGAGAGAAGGAAGAACAGAGCCUGUGAGACGAGCAAUGACAGGCAGUGGAUAUGAAGGAGCAGCACAGAGUAGGUGCUUAAUAUAUGCCUAUUUCCUCCCCCAGGAGAGAGCAGACAGGGCAGAGAGCAGACAGGGCAGAGAAGCCCAGGUGAAGAAAUGAAGAAGAGAGAGAGUGUGUAGGUUAGGCUGUGAGUACACAGGAAGCGCUCAAUAAAUGCACAUUGGCUUCCUAGAGGGGGAGAGAGAACAAGAUGGAAAGGAAGGUGCAGGUACAGGCGAAGGGAAAGGAAGGUUGGCUGAGGAGGUUGAGGGCAGAGAAAGCCAGAGGCUGGUGGAGCAGAAGGGAGGAGGUGACCUCGAGAAGAAUUGGCAACGGAGAGGAGACACAGGGAGGAGGCGGUGCAGGCAAAUCGUGGGAUACACAGCAGGUGCUUGGUAAAUGCUUGUUUUCUCACCCAAAAGAGGGCCUAGAGAACAUAGGGAAGGGAGAAGCUGGCAGAGCAAGAGGGGGACAGGGAGAGAGGCAAGAGGAGAUAAAAUGGGAUGAUUGCCUGGCAUACAGUUGGUGCUCCAUAGGUGCUUGUUCUCUUCCCCAAGAAAGAACAGAUGGAGCAGAAAUGAAGAAAUAGGGAAAAUUGAGGGGGAGAGGAGCAUAAGGAGAUUGUCUGGCAUACAAUAGGUGCUCAAUAAAUGCCCAAUUCUUUCCCUGGCAGACAGCAAAAAGCAGCAGAGGGUAGCAGAGCUCACAGGUCAGUGAAAUAGGUUGAGAGGAGAGAAAGCACAGGCGAUUGCUUUAGCCUACCAUGGGUGCUCAGUAAAUGUGUUUUCUUUGCCUUGGAAAAGAGCAUAGAGCCCAGAACCACAAGGAGGGAACAGAGAAGAAACAGGAGAGGAAGAGGGUGUGAGGAAGGGAGAGAAGAUGUGUAAACUACCUGGCAUACAGUAGGUGCUCAAUAUGUGUUCAUUCCCUCCCCUAGGAGGGAGCAGAAAGAAAGGGGAGGCCAUCAGGAGAGGGGGAAGAAAGGAAUUGGGGGAGAAAGAGGUGUAGUAAGAGAGGAGACAGGGUUUGUAAAUUUCCGAAGACACAGUAGGUGCUCCACAAAUGUGCAUUCUUGGCCCAGGAGACCAGACAGUCAUGAAGUGCAAGGGAUCAGGGUGCAAGGGACAAGAGAGCUCGAGCACAGGCCCAGAGGAAACAAACACUGGGAACUUAAAAAAAAAAAAAAAAAAAAAAGGUCCCGUUUCCUCCUCAGAAUGGGGGCCAGAGCCCAGGAAGAACAGAGGGCGAACCGAGGGAGCCAGGGAGGCAUUUCGGUUCCCCUUUGACCUCCAGAAGUCUUGGAACCAGAACUGGCCAAGUCCACAUCUCAGCGUCACAGCUGGCUCCACGAGCACGAGCACCUGCUCUAUCUGCACCCCACCUUCUUUCUGGUGUCAGAGUUUAGCUUGUGUCCUUGCGAGAUAUUUGCUGUCCCGAAGGAACCCAACCUGAGCCUGAGAGCGAGUGCCUGGCUUCAGCUGUGUAGAUCAGAUCCAGAGGUGGGGGCCAGGGGAGCCGUGUGAAUGGCCAACCGGACAAGGAAGCUGCAGCAAGGGGAUGGAUGGCCCUGGGGAGGGGCCACAGAAUAGGAAGGGUCUCGCUCAGGUUUCCUACGGACUCUCCUUUCCUGCUUCCUCCUCCACCUUUCAAGACCCUCGGAUGGCAUCCUCCCUCCCCCCAUAACAUGGGAUCAUUUCCCAGUUUCAAGGCCAGUGGAUGAAUAAGCUUGGUUGCCCUCCCCCUCCUAACAGAACACAGUGGCAGCUUCCGGGGGUCGUGGCGUGGCCAUCUCUUGGACAACUGAUGGAGCAGAAUCAAGAAUCCAGAAAGAAACUUGCUUUCUCCCCUGCCCUUAUCCCACCAAACACCCUGGAUCACCUAUUUGCUCCUGGUCUCUGCCUGCCAAUGGCUCAUGAGGGCAGGGACUCCUGCUAUUUUCUCCUGUGGCCCUGAUGAAGAAACUGAGGCCCAGAGAGGUGGGUGACUCACCGGACCUGGAGGAGAGCCAGCAUGUGACCUCCCAGGCUCUAGUCAAUGCCUGGCUGGCUAGCGGGGGGGCCCCCUCCCCACCCCUCUCCAGGAGCCCCUGGAGGGAAGGGCCCCCCAGGCAGAUGCAGGCCAGGCCGGUAGCAAAUGAGCAGAUUUAUUGAGGCAGCAGUGGCAUCAGGGAGCAGGGGGUUUGGAAGGGGGCUGGGGCCUCCACGGGGUCCAUGAGGUGCGGGCCUAGCCCUUUCCCAGCACGCAGGGGCCAGAUCUGGACGCGUAGAGACUGCACGACAGGUGGCCCACUUCUUGCCUCUGCUGGGUCAGACCGUCCGCAGCCAGCAGCCCUUCUCUUCCACCUCCUUGGUCACCACCAGCAGCACCUCACACAGGCCCUGGGCCAGGGCAGCUGCCAGGAAGGCCCUGGGCAGAGAGAUGAGGAGACUGAGGCCCAGGAGCCUGGGCGUUGCCUCCUGGGGAGUGGGGAGCCAGUGCCAAGCCCCAGCCCCAGAGUCGCCUCCCCCUCACCUGACACCAUCCUCGUCCCCUAGGGCCUCGGGCGCCCGCAGCUUGGAGUCCAGGUUGUAGUAGACGCCAUCCACCUGGCGGAGGGCCACCCAGUGCCGCCGGCGCAGUGGCAGGGACAGCAGCCCCAGGGACAUGGGUGAGGGCAGGUUCAGGAUCAGUCCCAGUACCUGGGACAGGGCCAGCUGGGACAGGGGCCUGUGUGGGUGGAGUGGGGACACGGCCGUCAGUGUCCUGUGCUCACCCACUGGCCCAGGGGUACUGAACUCGUGGGAGCCAGGCUGGCAUGACAGCAGGAGCCCCCAGGCCUGCCCAAGGACUCUCUUCGCUCUUUAUUUCCUUUCAUUCACCCAUGCACCCAAAUCUCCCACCCAUCUAGUGACCACCCCCCUCAACUACCCAACUAUCGUACACCCAAACAUCAUUCAUCUACUGAUGUAACUGAUCAGCCAGCCAGCCACCAGCUCAACAACUUACCCACCAUCCUCCAACACCUCAUCCAGUCUUUAGCCAUCCACCUGUCCAUCUGUCCAUCCAUCCCUCCAACUAUCCAACCACCUAUUAGCUAUCCAUUGCCUAUCAAUUAUCCUUUAUUAACUCAUCCACUUCGUCAGCCAACCACCACCUCCUCAACACAUCCAAUUACACAUUUACCAUCCACCUCAUUACCAGAUUACCGUCUACCUACCCACUAUCCGUCCAUCGGCUCAUCCUAUUGUCCGUCCUGUCAUCCCACUCAUCUUUGUACCAUCUCCCAACCCUUUGGCUGGCCAUCCAUCCAUCAUCCACCCAUGCAAACCUUCCACUCAUUGUACCCCUUCCUUCUCACCUCCUAUCCACCCACCCUCUGCUUUAUCUCACACCGAUAUUGUCACACCGCACCCACUGUGCCAGGCUCAGCACACAUGACGCAGUGCUUGGGGUCCCACCUCCUUCUGUCCCACCACACGGUGGCCAGGCCCAGCCCCUGCAGGGCUGCCAUGAUCACGUUGACAUCAUAGUUGCCGGUGCCGAGGAGGCUGCGAUGGGGAUUCAGCCGGGAGUCUGGGGCCAACCUGGUCAGGGGAUGGUCAGAGCUUGAGCUGGGGGUCCCUGAAAAGGUCUUGCCCUCCCUACAAAGCAGGAGAGUCCCAGGGACCUUGAAUCAUCCAGCCUUUGGACUCUUCCCUUUGCUCAACCCCAUGGCUCAUCAGCCCCAAGCCUGAUCCCACCGUCCCCAACUCUCUCUGCCCUGUCCUAUAGCCACAUUUCCCUGCGCAGGCCUUGUCCUCCCUGACCUGAAGCCUCAUCUGGUCUCCCCACCUCUCCUCCAGCCAUCCCCCAGCUCAGGAGGCCCACCUUGCCACUAUUUGUCUCUCUGGGUCCUGCCUUCUCUGAACAGUGACACCUUUGUUCUUUCUCUUGGCCCUUGGUGGGCAGGGGGAGGGGGAGGGGCAGGGGCCUGAGAGGGAAAGUCUGUGUAUUAUUUUCCUGCAUAUCUGUUUGCCUGACCUCCCUCAGGGCAGGGCCUAUACUGGACUCAUCUCUGGGUCUCCAGCAUGGCCUCAGCAUCCAAGAGUUGAUGGACCCCUGUUGUGAAUGGCAGAGGAGAUGAAUAAAUUCUAUAACAAUUGG